RNAcentral lists this long non-coding RNA (858 nucleotides) under Nicotiana tabacum (common tobacco). RNAcentral's name for it is "long non-coding RNA (NTAB_LNC011435)". Lineage: Eukaryota; Viridiplantae; Streptophyta; Magnoliopsida; Solanales; Solanaceae. The record is from RNAcentral.
UUCUGAGAAGGCAGAUUUCUAUCGAAGCCGUGUUAAUUUUCUUAUCUUGCUUCUCCAGGGUAAAAGGUACUUUUUAUUCCUUUUCAGGUUGGUGAGUAGGCGUGAAUAUGCUUUCAGACAUGUAUGUGAUAAGUGUGCGUGUCUUUAUCUUGUUAAUAUUUUUGCUCCUUUGGCCUGAAGGAAAUGAUGAUGUUCAUCACAAUUUCAUGUCUGAUUAUUUGGUGUAAUUUAUUCUGCAGGAUCGAUAGAUAAUUUAGUUCUCAUGCUAAAUUCCUAUGAGGUAAGUAAUUUUCUCUUUUGCAAAUGCUAAUUUUUUCAUUGAUCUGGAAACUAGAGAGCAAGAACUCAACAUGAGACAGAUUUUAAGAUUUUGGUAGAAAACGUACACAUACAUGUCAAAUAUUUGAGGAGGAAAGAAGCCGGUGGUAUUGUGCUUAGCCAGUAAACAUCAUCCUUGUACUGGCAAGAGAGGCGUCUUAGCCCAUUAUGACAAAGGGAGAUUACUUUUGAUGGAAAAACAUGACAUCUUGAUUAGACCAGUAUUAGUUAUGAUAUGGAACCAUAUCACAUGUGCGCCCCCCAUUUUUUUUUCUGUUUUUCUUUCCCUUUUGGGGGCUUUAUAUGAAGCCCCAUAUCUGGGCUGUGGUGACUUUACAGUUGUGGGAUAACUGGGAUUCCAUGUCUAAGUUGUUUUUUUUAAUUAGCUAUUAUUUAUUCUUUGAGCAUGGAUUGUGUGUGGAGAAAAAUGGGGUUUGCUUUAUGAUAUACAGUAGAUUUAUUUGUUGCAUUCUUUUUGCUUCCCGGUGCUAAUUUAGAACUCUACACCAAACUUUCUAAGCUGAUCCAAUUUCUUUUCUU